GGCCUGAUGUUCCCUUGAUUACAGCCCUGCCAUCCAGGACGAGGGCUGAAAAUAACUUGGGACUGUUUGGCCCAGCAGCUCUGGCCAACGGAGGAAAAAAAAUACUCCUACAGACACAAAAACAGAUAACCAUUGUUCCUCUGUGGCAGCUCGCCGUCCUCUUGAGGCACUGCAGCCGCCGAGCCGCAGCCCCAAACAAUGUCAGCUAUGCAGUAAACAGACAAACACCACCAAAUGGGACUGCUGGGAAUUCUGACCUCCAUCAUUCACACGUUUUCUGAUGGACAGCAGCGAACAGCAAGAAAUCUGCAAUUAACACAUAUAGAUGUGUAUAGAUUCACAGCUCAGAAGGGCUCUCAGUCAUCCAGGUCACAAUCAUCCAAAGUUUAAUCCAAAAGACAACUGGACUGCAAGAAGUUUUGAAGACAUUUCAGCUCUAAUUCAAAAAGUUUGUUUAGUUAAGAUGUUUUUACGAACUUCAGCCAAGUGCAGCUACCUCUUGGAUUAAACUUUGAAUUUUCUUGGUACCAAAUACAGGUUUAAGUGCGUUUUUCAUCGCAUUACCAAAUUUUGGAAACCCAUUCCAUCUGGUAAAAAGAAGAAACAGAAUAGUAUUA
This is a long non-coding RNA of Notolabrus celidotus (New Zealand spotty), 617 nucleotides long. RefSeq lists it as uncharacterized. The transcript has 3 exons. The record is from RefSeq and is a predicted model, not a curated record. Lineage: Eukaryota; Metazoa; Chordata; Actinopteri; Labriformes; Labridae.